Molecule: ribosomal RNA, 203 nt
Filed under: uncultured bacterium
Lineage: Bacteria
Description: partial 16S ribosomal RNA
Rfam family: Bacterial small subunit ribosomal RNA
Source: RNAcentral
GCAGGCUGCAACUCGCCUGCAUGAAGUCGGAAUUGCUAGUAAUCGCGGAUCAGCAUGCCGCGGUGAAUACGUUCCCGGGCUUUGUACACACCGCCCGUCACACCAUGAGAGCCGGUAACACCCGAAGUCAGUAGUCUAACCGCAAGGGGGGACGCUGCCGAAGGUGGGGCUGGUGAUUGGGGGUGAAGUCGUAACAAGGUACC